CAAACAGAAGAGAAGGUGAAACCCCCAGAGGAGAUGAAGAUGAAGAGAUGAUUCCAGGAGGAGCUAAGUCUUAGACUCCAUUUCCUUUUAUUGGACUCACUAAUAUGAUACCUGAACCCAACUGUAAUGCUGGUAGAAGAUCCUUCAGGAAAUUUAGUGGUUUAUAUCCAAGAUUCCAGGAAUUGCAGCGCUGGAGUGAUCCCAGAAGUUGUUUGUGCUGUCUCCAUACCUCAAAGAAGAAGAAACUAAAAUCUGAAGCAAUUAGUCAAGUUCAAAGGAAUCAGGAUCACCUCUCAUAAAAGCCGUAUAUGAAAAUAACUACAGCAAGGGGAUUAAAUAGAAUUCAUCUUUUGGAGAAGCCUAUUUAAAAAAGAAGAAGAAUCUUCAUUAGAGACCUUUGCCUGACUCCUAAAUCCUUGGUUAAUGAGUUAAUAGUUCUGUUCAAAUUGCUUACAUGAUCUUGAUUUAACUUUGGGAGGUGGUGUAUAUCGAGAAGGUUAUCCAUUUCUUCUGUUUUCUGAUUUGAUGCUGUGGCUUUGGAUCUGCAGGACUGGCCUCCUUCAUGUGCACUAGCAGCUCGUAGAUGGGGUGGAUGUUUGCGUGAGCCAACACAAAGCCCUGGAUCUGGGCCUGAAUGGAAGCUGAACUGGUUAGACCACCAGUUCUCCUAUGUCCACAUCACCAAAACCAGCUCUCCUACUGUGCCAGGAAUAUAUCAACCAGUUGUUCUUCUUAUUAUAUAGCAUGAACAAAUACAAAAUCACGACCAGCAUUUUUCAGAUCUUGCUGACAAGCCUAGAGAGCCAAAACUUGGGAAGCAGAAUGUUGUGGUUUGCCCUGGAGUUAUCUGUAUCUUGAUGCUAAUCCCACUGCCCCAAGGACAGCUGCCUAGUCAGUACUCAGGACUCAGAAAGAAUACAAGAGUACAAGAGCACGCUUGCUUCAUGAUGGAAAUGAUAUGUGGGAGAGAAGCGAGCAAUCAUGCAGGAAGGAGUUGCGGAAGCGGCGUUGGAAAAGCUUUCAAAAAAGUAAGAGGGAAUUCAGUUCAGAGAAAUAGAGAGACUGACCCUGUGGCAGAACUAUGGGUGUUUACUGGGAAAUUUAAAAGUUUGUGGCAGGAAGAUUAUGAGAAUUCUAUUUUCUAUAUGAAGCCUGAGGCAGGUAGAAACUAUGUAAGUAGCGUAACACAAUAAUGCUGCUAGACCAAUUUGCCCCUUGUUUUUCUUGAUAUCCUCAGAUCAUUCUCUUAUAUUGUGGGAUUCUUCUUCCAGUAGUUAGUUAGCACAAGUACAAGUCAAAGUCAAAUGCUCACUGACACAUUACUUUCCCAUUAAUGCCUCUUAGUGAAUCCAUUUUACAGAUUUAAAGCACUGAGCAUUACACAUGUUUAAUAAUUUGCUCAAUGAGAUGGGUGAAGGAAUUUGACUUCAUCACACCUGUCCAAUCUCAGAGCCUGCCCUUUGUUAGACUGUAUUGCCUCUACUUACCACAGUGUUUGAAUUACACAGGCAAAUGCUGUACUGUAAACAACAGGGUGUGCUGGUUUCCUGAUAACCAUCCUUAUCUGUCUUAAUAAUUAGCAUUACUUCUUCACCAAUUUACCUACUUAACUGUUUUUAUAUUCUGGAGAAAGGGGUACCUCAUUUCAAAUUUACCGUGGUUAGGUGGAACAACAUGAAGUUAUAUAUUCUCAGCUUAAUGUUUCCCAUACAUGAAAGGAGUUUUAUCACUUAAAAAGUCAAAUAGUGAUAAAGAAACUAGAAAUCCCAACUGUGAGUGUACAUCUUCAAGAAUAAUCCCCUCUCUUUCUUCUUUGUCUGAAUGUAACAUUUGCUUUUGUGAACAUGUUAAUUUUUCCACAGGAUGAUUUCUUUAAUUUUUUUUUCUUUUUCAAUAAGACAAAAACAAGAAUUCUGAGAUUUGAAAGAGUAUCUAUAAAAAGCAGAAAAGAACAAAAAGAUGCUGUCUUGGCACUGAGCUAAUGAAGAACUCUAUUGAAAAGAGCAGCAAGAGACAGAAUGAUGUAGGCGUGUUCUUCCUGAGACCUGUUGGUUCCUUUUAGCUUUCUAUGUGCAAUGGUGCUGUUUGAAACUUGGACACAAACUUGAUUUGACAUUCUCGUUAUCAGGCACAGUGACUGGAGCGCACAGGAGAAAUGCAAGGAAAGAAACAGGUGACGUGGGAAGGAGGAAGGCACGUCCUGAAUUUUCUAACAUAUUUUCAUUUUUAUAAAAUUUUGUGAAAGGGUCUGACUUAUUCCAUUUUAUGAACAGGAAAGUGAUUUGUUUGGGGAUAAAGAUUAUAUUAUGAACAUACAGCAUCUAGAUUUAUGUCAUUUAUUCUAUUAUUCUUGUUCAUCUUGACUCAGGGAACGUUGGAUGGAAAAGACUACUGAAGAACGGGGCCAAUUUAUUGAAGUUCUAAUUUAUAGAAAUUCAAUUUAUAGAAAUUUUAAUCUAUCCUAGGAAAACAAAAGAUAAAAGUUAAGAUGAAAAUUCAGUCAGAAGAAGUUGGGAGUAAUACUAUCAUAGGCAAUUAAUCUGAUAACAAAUGCUGGAGAGAACAUGGAGAGAAAGAAGCAUCCAUUCACUGUUGUUGAGGGUGCAAAUAAAUGAAGGCGUUAUGGAAAUCAGAUUGGGGAUUUCUCAAAACAAUUAAAAAUAAAACUAUCAUGAACUCUAGCUAUCUCACUUCUAGGCAAGAAAACUUCAUAAAGAUAUUUGUACUCCUGGGUUUAUUGCCACUUCAUUCAAUUAAAAUGAAGAAUUGAAAUUAACCUAGUUGUACACAAACAGAUGAAUGGAUAAUAAAAAUUUGCUAUAUUUAUGAAUACUACUCAGUUCUAAAAAAUAAAUUAAAAACUUGCAGGAAAGUGGAUGGACUUAGAAUGUUUAAUAUGAAGCGAGAUCGCAUACAGUUCCAAACAGAAAUAAACUGCAUGUUCUCUCCUGUAUGUGGAAUUUAGCCAAUAAUAUGUGUAUAUACAUGACAGUGUACUUGUGGUCCAGUACAACAUGAGGAAAAGAAUGACUGAAUAAAGGGGAUGGGGAAACACUGAAUGCAGGAUAUGGACGUGAGAUUUGAAAGAUAAUAUCAAGGUAAUUGUUUUUCUUGUUCUAAUUCUGUCAGUUUUUUGAGGGGUUGGUGGUUGACAAGAGCAUAAAAUAAACCCAAUACUGAAAUUGAAAAAAUUUAAUGUUGAAGUCUCUCACUUCUGUAUCGAAUGUCAGUUUUAACUGUGUAUAAAUGUAUAUUCAUUAAAUUGUGUAGACCGGGUCUGUUUAAAUUUGCUGUGUAUGUUUUUAUUUAUUUGUAAGAUUUUCAAUAAUAAAGUUUACAAAAUUAAAAGAGAAAUCUAAAAAAGAAGUGGUUUGUG
Molecule: small RNA, 3376 nt
Filed under: Rattus norvegicus (Norway rat)
Lineage: Eukaryota; Metazoa; Chordata; Mammalia; Rodentia; Muridae
Description: uncharacterized LOC102548951
Source: RNAcentral